This 482-nucleotide ribosomal RNA is filed under the name uncultured bacterium. RNAcentral describes it as "partial 16S ribosomal RNA". It matches the Rfam family "Bacterial small subunit ribosomal RNA", at positions 30 to 507 of the family's 1533-position model. The record is from RNAcentral.
AUUGAACGCUGGCGGCAUGCCUUACACAUGCAAGUCGAACGGUAACGGGCCUUCGGGUGCCGACGAGUGGCGAACGGGUGAGUAAUACAUCGGAACGUGCCCGAUCGUGGGGGAUAACGAGGCGAAAGCUUUGCUAAUACCGCAUACGAUCUACGGAUGAAAGCAGGGGACCGCAAGGCCUUGCGCGGACGGUGCGGCCGAUGGCAGAUUAGGUAGUUGGUGGGAUAAAAGCUUACCAAGCCGACGACCUGUAGCUGGUCUGAGAGGAUGAUCAGCCACACUGGGACUGAGACACGGCCCAGACUCCUACGGGAGGCAGCAGUGGGGAAUUUUGGACAAUGGGCGCAAGCCUGAUCCAGCCAUGCCGCGUGCAGGAUGAAGGCCUUCGGGUUGUAAACUGCUUUUGUACGGAACGAAAAGCCUUCUUUUAAUACAGGAGGGUCAUGACGGUACCGUAAGAAUAAGCACCGGCUAACUACGUG